GUAGGGGAGCAAACGUUGUCCGGAUUUAUUGGGCGUAAAGGGCUCGUAGGCGGGUUCAACAAGUCGAUCGUGAAAGCCCGGGGGCUCAACCCCGGGAGGCCGGUCGAAACUGUUGUGACUAGAGUUCGGUAGGGGUGAGUGGAAUUCUCGGUGUAGCGGUGGAAUGCGCAGAUAUCGAGAGGAACACCAUUAGCGAAGGCGGCUCACUGGGCCGAUACUGACGCUGAGGAGCGAAAGCGUGGGGAGCAAACAGGAUUAGAAACCCUGGUAGUCCACGCCGUAAACGAUGAACACUAGGUGUAGCGGACUGAUUCACGUCUGCUGUGCCGUAGCUAACGCAUUAAGUGUUCCGCCUGGGGAGUACGGCCGCAAGGCUA
This 377-nucleotide ribosomal RNA is filed under the name uncultured organism. Its description in RNAcentral is "partial 16S ribosomal RNA". It matches the Rfam family "Bacterial small subunit ribosomal RNA", at positions 526 to 896 of the family's 1533-position model. The record is from RNAcentral.